Molecule: transfer RNA, 81 nt
Filed under: Chloroflexaceae bacterium
Lineage: Bacteria; Bacillati; Chloroflexota; Chloroflexia; Chloroflexales; Chloroflexaceae
Description: tRNA-Glu
Rfam family: tRNA
About the family: Transfer RNA (tRNA) molecules are approximately 80 nucleotides in length. Their secondary structure includes four short double-helical elements and three loops (D, anti-codon, and T loops). Further hydrogen bonds mediate the characteristic L-shaped molecular structure. tRNAs have two regions of fundamental functional importance: the anti-codon, which is responsible for specific mRNA codon recognition, and the 3' end, to which the tRNAs corresponding amino acid is attached (by aminoacyl-tRNA synthetases). tRNAs cope with the degeneracy of the genetic code in two manners: having more than one tRNA (with a specific anti-codon) for a particular amino acid; and 'wobble' base-pairing, i.e. permitting non-standard base-pairing at the 3rd anti-codon position.
Source: RNAcentral
GGCCCCAUCGUCUAGCGGCCGAAGGACGCCGACCCUCUCAAGGUGGAGAUUCGCGGGUUCGAAUCCCGCUUGGGGUCACCA